UAGGGCGUGGCCAAGUGGUAAGGCACAGGGUUUUGGUCCCUGGACCGGUGGUUCGAAUCCACCCGCCCUAGCCA
RNAcentral lists this transfer RNA (74 nucleotides) under archaeon SCG-AAA382B04. RNAcentral describes it as "tRNA-Gln". It matches the Rfam family "tRNA". Rfam says of the family: Transfer RNA (tRNA) molecules are approximately 80 nucleotides in length. Their secondary structure includes four short double-helical elements and three loops (D, anti-codon, and T loops). The record is from RNAcentral.